AAGGGAUGAAGGUCCGUCAUCUAUAACUUCUUUAAGCUGAAUCCAGGUGUUGAUAUGGGACCCAUUAGAGGAGUGAAAUUUUUCCUAGCUAGUCUUAGGUAGGUCUAGUUGUCUCCUGGAUAUAAGCCUAGCUGUUCAUAUUGCUAUAUGUCCUCAACUUGCUUAGACACAAAAGAAACAAGGCAGUUUAAGAAACAGGGCCCAAAGAUCAAGAGAAGUAGGAUGUCAGCUAAAGUGCCCAGGAAGGCACAACAGGAAGAGUUGGUGACUACACACACCCUACCUUGUUCUCCCAAGAGGUCAUCAAGAGCCGGAUGGUUAUAACGCACGAUGUUGGCUAAGGUAGGCUCUGGAUGAAACAAGGUGACUCCAAGGACAAAGCUUAGAAUACCGGCAAGCAAGACAAGUAGAUUAAGCCCUGACAGAAAAGUAUAUGUGGGCCCAAGCUAUUUUUAGCCUCUGUGGACAGCUCCAUAGGGAGAAUGAACUAUUCGUCAACGUCAACCAUACUUUACUGAAGAUUUUGAAGGUAUUCCAAUGUGACUGACUACUACAUUUCCUCACAUGUGUGCUGCUGUGUCUGAGAUCACCAAGUUUUCAAUUAUCUCAUAUGAACCUGUUUCUGUUCAGAAAGAAACCUUCC
Molecule: long non-coding RNA, 643 nt
Filed under: Pongo abelii (Sumatran orangutan)
Lineage: Eukaryota; Metazoa; Chordata; Mammalia; Primates; Hominidae
Description: lincRNA
Source: RNAcentral